AGGAUCAUUAUUGAAAUAAAUCUGAUGAGUUGUUGCUGGUUCUCUAGGGAGCAUGUGCACACUUGUCAUCUUUAUAUCUUCACUUGUGCAUCUUUUGUAGACUUUGGAUAAUCUCUCUGAUUGCUUUUUUUUAAGCAUUCAGGAUUGAGGAUUGACUUUCUGUCUCUUCUUACAUUUUCCAGGUCUAUGUUUCUUCAUAUACCCUAGUGUAUGUUUAUAGAGUUAUUACGGGCCUUUUGUGCCCAUAUAUCUAUACAACUUUCAGCAACGGAUCUCUUGGCUCUCGCAUCGAUGAAGAACGCAGCGAAAUGCGAUAAGUAAUGUGAAUUGCAGAAUUCAGUGAAUCAUCGAAUCUUUGAACGCACCUUGCGCUCCUUGGNAUUCCGAGGAGCAUGCCUGUUUGAGUGUCAUUAAUAUAUAUCAACCUCUGGUUGGAUAUGGGUUUGCUGGCCUUUUCUUUGAGGUCAACUCUCCUUAAAUGCAUUAGCGGACAAUUUUGCCAAACGUUUCAUUAGUGUGAUAAUUAUCUACGCUAUUGAUGUGAAGCAGGUUCGACUUCUAAUGGCCCAUUGACUUGGACAAAUCUUUAUUUAUUAUGUGACCUCAAAUCAGGUAGGACUACCCGCUGA
RNAcentral lists this ribosomal RNA (629 nucleotides) under Calonarius natalis. RNAcentral's name for it is "eukaryotic LSU rRNA". The stretch from base 257 to 410 matches the Rfam family "5.8S ribosomal RNA". The record is from RNAcentral. Lineage: Eukaryota; Fungi; Basidiomycota; Agaricomycetes; Agaricales; Cortinariaceae.